RNAcentral lists this unclassified non-coding RNA (345 nucleotides) under soil metagenome. RNAcentral describes it as "partial contains 5.8S ribosomal RNA, internal transcribed spacer 2, and large subunit ribosomal RNA". The stretch from base 1 to 120 matches the Rfam family "5.8S ribosomal RNA", at positions 35 to 154 of the family's 154-position model. The record is from RNAcentral.
GAUGAAGAACGCAGCGAAAUGCGAUACGUAAUGUGAAUUGCAGAAUUCAGUGAAUCAUCGAGUCUUUGAACGCACAUUGCGCCCUCUGGUAUUCCGGAGGGCAUGCCUGUCCGAGCGUCAUUGCUGCCCUCAAGCACGGCUUGUGUGUUGGGCCUCCGUCCUCCUCCCGGGGGACGGGCCCGAAAGGCAGCGGCGGCACCGCGUCCGGUCCUCGAGCGUAUGGGGCUUCGUCACCCGCUCUUGUAGGCCCGGCCGGCGCUUGCCGACACAUCAAUCUUUUUUCCAGGUUGACCUCGGAUCAGGUAGGGAUACCCGCUGAACUUAAGCAUAUCAAUAAGCGGAGGA